This 449-nucleotide ribosomal RNA is filed under the name uncultured bacterium. RNAcentral describes it as "bacterial SSU rRNA". It matches the Rfam family "Bacterial small subunit ribosomal RNA", at positions 355 to 796 of the family's 1533-position model. The record is from RNAcentral.
UGGGGAAUAUUGGACAAUGGGGGCAACCCUGAUCCAGCAAUACCGCGUGUGUGAAGAAGGCCUUCGGGUUGUAAAGCACUUUAGGUUGGGAAGAAGUUGCGUAGUUUAAGAGAUGACGUAAUUGACUGUACCGACAGAAUAAGCACCGGCUAACUCUGUGCCAGCAGCCGCGGUAAUACAGAGGGUGCAAGCGUUAAUCGGAGUUACUGGGCGUAAAGGGCGCGUAGGCGGUUGUUUAAGUGAGAUGUGAAAUCCCUGGGCUUAACCUAGGAACUGCAUCUUAAACUGAAUGACUGGAGUACUGUAGAGGGUAGUGGAAUUUCCGGUGUAGCGGUGAAAUGCGUAGAGAUCGGAAGGAACACCAGUGGCGAAGGCGGCUACCUGGACAGAUACUGACGCUGAGGCGCGAAAGCGUGGGGAGCAAACAGGAUUAGAUACCCCCGUAGUCC